AUGGAGCUCCGCCUCCGCCUCCACCUCCACCCGCACGCGCGGCCCCCUUCCGCCCCGACGCCGCCUCCAUGCCCCGCGGCCGUGCUGCUUCCCGCGUCCCGCCGCGGCCGCCGCCUGCGGAUUGGUGGGAGCUGCGGGGUUGCUCCGCGGCGGAGCACGAGGCGUUCGCAUUCAGCCAUCUGCGCUGCUGAACCGGGCGGCGCGCAGGGCGGGGAGGCUGUCAAGGAGAGGAGCGUCUCGGUGGUCCUCUUGUCCGGAGGGCAAGGAAAGAGAAUGGGGGCCAAUAUGCCUAAGCAGUAUCUACCAUUACUGGGAGUACCAAUUGCACUGCACAGUUUAAAGACAUUCUGUGGAAUGAAGGAAGUGAAAGAAGUCGUGGUGGUGUGUGAUCCAUCCUACAAAAAUUUAUUUGAAGGUUCUGUUGAAAACUUGCAAAUACCUAUUAAAUUUACAACCCCGGGAAAAGAGAGACAAGACUCUGUUUUUAAUGGACUUCAGGAAAUUGAUGGAGAUUCAGAACUUGUUUGUGUCCAUGAUUCUGCAAGACCCUUGGUAUCCUCUGAAGAUGUAAAAAAGGUCUUAGAAGAUGCUGCGGUGCAUGGAGCAGCUGUUCUUGGUGUGCCUGUCAAAGCUACUAUAAAGGAGGCCAACAGCGAUUCUUUCGUCGUAAAAACCCUCGAUAGGAAAACCCUCUGGGAGAUGCAAACUCCACAGGUGAUGAAGCCUAAUUUGCUCAAAGAUGGUUUCGAGCUUGUUAAGAGGGAUGGCCUUGAGGUCACUGAUGAUGUUUCCAUCGUAGAAUGCUUGAAACAUCCUGUUUAUAUCACUGAGGGCUCUUAUACAAACAUCAAGGUGACUACUCCUGAUGACAUGCUCUUAGCUGAGCGUUUGAUGAACGAUAAAUAG
Molecule: ribosomal RNA, 906 nt
Filed under: Triticum aestivum (bread wheat)
Lineage: Eukaryota; Viridiplantae; Streptophyta; Magnoliopsida; Poales; Poaceae
Description: partial small subunit ribosomal RNA
Source: RNAcentral